UCUGCACCUCGGAUCUGCUAUGUACUGGAUAAUGUGCUGGACUUGCUCAAAACCUGUUACUUAUUUACUUUGCCUUGAGCCAGAAGAGUGAUUCCUUUUGCUAAUUCAUUUGUUUAGACAGUGAAGAUCCCUGAUUUAAUGAAACACAUGUUCCUAUGGAAAAAGAGAGACAACAAACAAGUAAACAAGCCUCUUCUGCGAUCGCUGUCCCCAUGUCCCAGGCCUGGCUCUGUGACUUCCCAGCAGCAGGCCUCCAGCCACAGAAGCGCCGCCACACACCGGCUCCUCCAGAACAGAAGCCCCAGCCCACAGCAGGCUCAGAGCGUGUGGUUUCGCAGCCACAGGGAAGAGGGGAUGGGAGAGGUUGGUGUGAGCAUCUUCUCAUCUUCAGCACUCCAAGCGGAACUGCAGGUGAUGACUUCAGUGCGCCGCUUCUCCUUUAAGAAAAUAAUGAAAUUGUCCAGAAUCGUUCCCUGUCUUAUUUGGCCUAAAUAAUGGAUUUUCUUUCUUUGUUUAGCUCUCUGGUACAUCUAAAAUCAGAUGUACUGCUUUAUGUAAUUGUUUCUUGUUACUACUUUAUUUGAAGGUCACUUAAGGCUUGUGGCUCACUAUUUGUGAAUUUUAUCUACUUUUCAAUCAUUACAAGAGCAUAAAUACCUACGUACUUGCGUCUCGAGUUACAAAAAAAGUGGGGGGGUGGGGGGAGCCCAGCUCACAUGGGUUAGGUGCUCUGAAGAGCAAAACUGCAGUGACCCAUCACUGUUUUAUGGAUACGCUUUGCCUCAGCCCCCACCGGGCCACCAUGCAAUUCCAGGCCCUCACUCACCACAGGAAUAUUUUCCUGGAAGGCAGAGUCAACCCAGAGAAAACCAUUCUUUCCAUGUGGUGAUGGCUUCUCCCCAGAGGCCUGGCCUCAGCAAGGGGUGUGGAGAGGCAUGUUUCCACUUCACCCAAAGGGGCCCUGGUCUGCCACACAUGCAACUUGCCAAACCCAGGGGGUAUGUCCCUCCCUCUACCUCAGCUGAGAGCUC
This 1031-nucleotide long non-coding RNA is filed under the name Canis lupus familiaris (dog). Its description in RNAcentral is "lncRNA (ENSCAFG00040016455.1)". The record is from RNAcentral. Lineage: Eukaryota; Metazoa; Chordata; Mammalia; Carnivora; Canidae.